CAAAGUAGGUUAUGUAUAUGCUGAUAGGCGAUGCAAUUGUCACCUUAACACAAAACUUGUAAAUUAUAGAUUCAUACAACCUCAGCUGAGUGAAGUGGAGGAAACACAAUACUUGAAAAUUAUAGAUUAUAAUGAAAAUAUAUGUAAUGGCUUGUGCCAAAACUAAAUAACACAAUACUUGAAAAUUGUGAUUUACAAGAUAUAGGUUAUAUUGCCGAAAGGCAAAACAAAAUAUGUAAUGGCUUGUGCCAAAACUAAAUAACACAAUACUU
RNAcentral lists this long non-coding RNA (272 nucleotides) under Nilaparvata lugens (brown planthopper). RNAcentral describes it as "uncharacterized LOC120351284". Lineage: Eukaryota; Metazoa; Arthropoda; Insecta; Hemiptera; Delphacidae. The record is from RNAcentral.